CCCCCCCCCCUCAGGCCUUCCCUGCCAAGCUGGAGAGUCCUCACCCCAAAGCAUACCGAGUUCCCAGCACUGGCUUGGCCAGCGCAGCUGGAAAGCACAUCAGGGAGGGGUCAGUUCUUCCCCUGGCGUCAGGGACCUGAGUAAGCACAUGGCAGCGUCUGCUUGCAUUGUGUCUGUUUUAUGUUUUUAUAUUUACAUCUAUAUAUCUAUAAUUUUAUUAAAAAAAAGGAAAAAUC
This 236-nucleotide long non-coding RNA is filed under the name Rattus norvegicus (Norway rat). RNAcentral describes it as "long non-coding RNA NONRATT006743". Lineage: Eukaryota; Metazoa; Chordata; Mammalia; Rodentia; Muridae. The record is from RNAcentral.